UACGUAGGCAGCGAGCGUUGUUCGGAGUUACUGGGCGUAAAGGGCUUGUAGGCGGCCAACUAAGUCAUACGUGAAAUCCCUCAGCUUAACUGGGGAACUGCGUGUGAUACUGGAUGGCUUGGAUUUGGGAGAGGGAUGCGGAAUUCCAGGUGUAGCGGUGAAAUGCGUAGAUAUCUGGAGGAACACCGGUGGCGAAGGCGGCAUCCUGGACCAAUAUUGACGCUGAGGAGCGAAAGCCAGGGGAGCAAACGGG
RNAcentral lists this ribosomal RNA (253 nucleotides) under uncultured bacterium. Its description in RNAcentral is "partial 16S ribosomal RNA". It matches the Rfam family "Bacterial small subunit ribosomal RNA", at positions 524 to 776 of the family's 1533-position model. The record is from RNAcentral.